GUCUGUGAGUAUAACAGAACUCAUAUGGCAGGCAAAAACCUGAGAAGAUUCCUUACAGGAAGUGCCCUCUCUGACCAUGUGGGGGGCUGUAAUAGGUGGUGACAUGACAGUGUGUUAUCAGAGGACUGAGACCAGAUGGGGGGUGUAAUAGGUGGUGACAUGACAGUGUGUUAUCAGAGGACUGAGACCAGAUGGGGGGUGUAAUAGGUGGUGACAUGACAGUGUGUUAUCAGAGGACUGAGACCAGAUGGGGGGUGUAAUAGGUGGUGACAUGACAGUGUGUUAUCAGAGGACUGAGACCAGAUGGGGGGUGUAAUAGGUGGUGACAUGAGGGUGGGUAUAAUUUGUGGAACGUUCCAACAGGAAUCUGUUCCAAAAACUUUGUAAAUAUCCAGGUUACCAACAAACAACGCAAAAAAAGUCAUAUAACGGUAGAAUGAGAUACCGGGUAGAGAGUGAACAAUGUAAUAACGUUUUUCAACCACCACGUUUAUUCUGAAAAAUGUCUCUCUUCGUUCUGGUAGCCUCCACCAUUCCUCGUUCGUUGGUUUAGUUAUUAUUUCCGGGGUUCCUGCAUUCGCCAGGUGAACUCUGUUGCGCCUCAAUUAGGGAAUCGCUAUGGUUGAAAUGUAACUAAUCACUGCCAGCCCCAGUAUUUUAUUAGCUAGGUGGCUUGGACACAAUUGUUACCGAUGAUACUGUAUACACCAGCCUACUCCUACUACAGAAACAUACAUUGUAUUUUGCCAAGUUCUCUCUGUGUUAGUCCUGUUUCCCAAAUAUAUCAGCUAACUUGUGUCUGUGUCGAUGUUGUUUAGUUCAAGGUGCCUAGUUAAAUAAAGAUUAAAUAAAUUAGAACAUAUAAAAUAUAUGCUUUGACCUAUUCCAGGUAACCUAAAGAUGCUUGAUUCACUACAGCUGCUUUUGAAGAACUUUCCAG
RNAcentral lists this long non-coding RNA (940 nucleotides) under Salmo salar (Atlantic salmon). RNAcentral describes it as "lncRNA (ENSSSAG00000099842.1)". The record is from RNAcentral. Lineage: Eukaryota; Metazoa; Chordata; Actinopteri; Salmoniformes; Salmonidae.